CUGCUGGAGGUUUUGUGUUAUUAAUAAUAUGUGUAACGUUGUGGAUUUGGCUGAAAAAGAAAAAGCAGCAAGUUUCUGAGAAACCUGAAGUGACUUACGCUGAUGUGAAUGUUACAGCUCACAGUGCAGAGAGAGUUAAAGAGG
This is a long non-coding RNA of Ictalurus punctatus (channel catfish), 144 nucleotides long. RefSeq lists it as uncharacterized. The transcript has 2 exons. The record is from RefSeq and is a predicted model, not a curated record. NCBI's taxonomy places the organism in Eukaryota, Metazoa, Chordata, Actinopteri, Siluriformes, Ictaluridae.